AGAUAAUCCAACAGACACUUUUAAGUUCAAUUUAAAUUUCAGGUAGCAAAUGUUGCCUUCUGCUCACGUAUAGCACUCAUCAUCUGGAAACCAAUGCAGUAUAACAUGAAAUGAAUAAUUCUUAAAGAUAUGGAAUUCAGAUAAAAUGUCUUUUGCUUUUCAGAGAUUUUUUGUUAAGAGAGAGAUGAUUUAGAUAGGCAUCUAUGAUUUUUCUUUGGGCUAAGCCUAUCUGUGCGUUUCUGAACUCCUUCACAAAGCAGCAGAGCCAGAUGACAAAAUCAGUUCCCCUGGGGUUGGGCUGACUCAGGACAUCUCCAUAUGGAUGUCUCGAGGAAAUUUAUACUCAACAUGUCCCCACAUGAACUCAUCAUCUUCCUUUUAAAACCGCGGUCUUAGAAGGCCCUUCAACUCUCUUCUUGCCUCUCACAUCAAACCAUUCAAUGAUUCCAGUAUUCAGCCCUUGCCUCUGGUCCUACCAUGGCCCUGUCCUGGGCCUCAGUUCCCUAAAGGUCUUCUUGCCUCCAAUAUCUCCCCUUUCCAAUCCCUGUUUUCAUGGCCACCAAAUCAAUCUCUGUAAAGUGUUAGCUGGACAAUGCUACUCUCACUCAGAAAUGUUCAGUCUCUCUUGUGUUGCUAUCUUUUGUUUGCCUCUGCAGACCCACUCUCUACCUUCUCUCCCUGUUUCGUAUACGGAAGCCCAACUUGAACGAACAGCUUCAGUGAACUCCUUUACCCUUUGGCUGCUGGUUCAUUUCUGAUAACGCGGAGCCCUGGAGGAGGCGAGUGAGGCCGGGGUAUUUAUUUCCCGGCUCCCUCCUUGUGUCACUGACCUGUAUUAGUCAGAAGAUCUCAGAACUACAAGUUGGAAGGAGCCAAGAGCCUUGAAUUAUUGCUUGGAGAUGGGAGCCCUGGCUCCUCAGGAACCCCCCUUUCGGACUUCACACGAGUGAGGAAUACCUGCUACUGAGUUGAGCCCCUGCGAUGCGGGGAUUUAUCUACUUCAACUACUAGGAUUACCCUAAUUAAUUGAGUAAAAUUCUUUCAGAAUAGAAAGAAGUUCUGUUCCUCAGUGAUGGUCCCAUGUUGGUCAUUAAUAUGUAGGCGAAACAGCCGUGAUCACCAGGAGCCUGCAGGAGUUCACAGACAACACAUUUUCCACUGGGAUAGUUUCC
This 1172-nucleotide long non-coding RNA is filed under the name Equus caballus (horse). RNAcentral's name for it is "lncRNA (ENSECAG00000058725.1)". The record is from RNAcentral. Lineage: Eukaryota; Metazoa; Chordata; Mammalia; Perissodactyla; Equidae.